AGUGAACGCUGGCGGUAGGCCUAACACAUGCAAGUCGAACGGCAGCACAGUAAGAGCUUGCUCUUACGGGUGGCGAGUGGCGGACGGGUGAGGAAUACAUCGGAAUCUACUUUUUCGUGGGGGAUAACGUAGGGAAACUUACGCUAAUACCGCAUACGACCUACGGGUGAAAGCAGGGGAUCUUCGGACCUUGCGCGAUUGAAUGAGCCGAUGUCGGAUUAGCUAGUUGGCGGGGUAAAGGCCCACCAAGGCGACGAUCCGUAGCUGGUCUGAGAGGAUGAUCAGCCACACUGGAACUGAGACACGGUCCAGACUCCUACGGGAGGCAGCAGUGGGGAAUAUUGGACAAUGGGCGCAAGCCCGAUCCAGCCACACCGCGUGGGUGAAGAAGGCCUUCGGGUUGUAAAGCCCUUUUGUUGGGAAAGAAAAGCAGCAGGUUAAUACCCCGCUGUUCUGACGGUACCCAAAGAAUAAGCACCGGCUAACUUCGUG
RNAcentral lists this ribosomal RNA (492 nucleotides) under uncultured bacterium. Its description in RNAcentral is "partial 16S ribosomal RNA". It matches the Rfam family "Bacterial small subunit ribosomal RNA", at positions 29 to 507 of the family's 1533-position model. The record is from RNAcentral.